GGGUCGCUAGCUCAGCUGGUAGAGCAGUUGCCUCUUAAGCAAACGGUCCCGGGUUCGAGCCCCGGGCGACCCA
RNAcentral lists this transfer RNA (73 nucleotides) under Candidatus Magasanikiibacteriota bacterium. Its description in RNAcentral is "Candidatus Magasanikbacteria bacterium tRNA-Lys". It matches the Rfam family "tRNA". From Rfam's summary of the family: Transfer RNA (tRNA) molecules are approximately 80 nucleotides in length. Their secondary structure includes four short double-helical elements and three loops (D, anti-codon, and T loops). The record is from RNAcentral. Lineage: Bacteria; Candidatus Magasanikiibacteriota.